Molecule: ribosomal RNA, 253 nt
Filed under: uncultured bacterium
Lineage: Bacteria
Description: partial 16S ribosomal RNA
Rfam family: Bacterial small subunit ribosomal RNA
Source: RNAcentral
UACAGGGGGUGCAAGCGUUGCUCGGAAUUACUGGGCGUAAAGCGUGCGCAGGCGGACGAUUAAGUCGGAUGUGAAAUCCCGGGGCUCAACCCCGGAACUGCAUUCGAAACUGAUCGUCUUGAGUGCGGCAGAGGUGAGUGGAAUUCCUGGUGUAGAGGUGAAAUUCGUAGAUAUCAGGAGGAACACCGGUGGCGAAAGCGGCUCACUGGGCCGACACUGACGCUCAUGCACGAAAGCGUGGGGAGCAAACAGG